RNAcentral lists this ribosomal RNA (1346 nucleotides) under uncultured bacterium. Its description in RNAcentral is "partial 16S ribosomal RNA". It matches the Rfam family "Bacterial small subunit ribosomal RNA", at positions 28 to 1381 of the family's 1533-position model. The record is from RNAcentral.
GACGAACGCUGGCGGCGUGCUUAACACAUGCAAGUCGAACGGAAAGGCCCUGCUUUUGUGGGGUGCUCGAGUGGCGAACGGGUGAGUAACACGUGAGUAACCUGCCCUUGACUUUGGGAUAACUUCAGGAAACUGGGGCUAAUACCGGAUAGGAGCUCCUGCUGCAUGGUGGGGGUUGGAAAGUUUCGGCGGUUGGGGAUGGACUCGCGGCUUAUCAGCUUGUUGGUGGGGUAGUGGCUUACCAAGGCUUUGACGGGUAGCCGGCCUGAGAGGGUGACCGGCCACAUUGGGACUGAGAUACGGCCCAGACUCCUACGGGAGGCAGCAGUGGGGAAUAUUGCACAAUGGGCGGAAGCCUGAUGCAGCAACGCCGCGUGCGGGGUGACGGCCUUCGGGUUGUAAACCGCUUUCGCCUGUGACGAAGCGUGAGUGACGGUAAUGGGUAAAGAAGCACCGGCUAACUACGUGCCAGCAGCCGCGGUGAUACGUAGGGUGCGAGCGUUGUCCGGAUUUAUUGGGCGUAAAGGGCUCGUAGGUGGUUGAUCGCGUCGGAAGUGUAAUCUUGGGGCUUAACCCUGAGCGUGCUUUCGAUACGGGUUGACUUGAGGAAGGUAGGGGAGAAUGGAAUUCCUGGUGGAGCGGUGGAAUGCGCAGAUAUCAGGAGGAACACCAGUGGCGAAGGCGGUUCUCUGGGCCUUUCCUGACGCUGAGGAGCGAAAGCGUGGGGAGCGAACAGGCUUAGAUACCCUGGUAGUCCACGCUGUAAACGGUGGGUACUAGGUGUGGGGUCCAUUCCACGGGUUCCGUGCCGUAGCUAACGCUUUAAGUACCCCGCCUGGGGAGUACGGCCGCAAGGCUAAAACUCAAAGGAAUUGACGGGGCCCCGCACAAGCGGCGGAGCAUGCGGAUUAAUUCGAUGCAACGCGUAGAACCUUACCUGGGUUUGACAUGGAUCGGGAGUGCUCAGAGAUGGGUGUGCCUCUUUUGGGGUCGGUUCACAGGUGGUGCAUGGCUGUCGUCAGCUCGUGUCGUGAGAUGUUGGGUUAAGUCCCGCAACGAGCGCAACCCUUGUUCACUGUUGCCAGCACGUUAUGGUGGGGACUCAGUGGAGACCGCCGGGGUCAACUCGGAGGAAGGUGGGGAUGACGUCAAGUCAUCAUGCCCCUUAUGUCCAGGGCUUCACGCAUGCUACAAUGGCUGGUACAGAGAGUGGCGAGCCUGUGAGGGUGAGCGAAUCUCGGAAAGCCGGUCUCAGUUCGGAUUGGGGUCUGCAACUCGACCUCACGAAGUCGGAGUCGCUAGUAAUCGCAGAUCAGCAACGCUGCGGUGAAUACGUUCCCGGGGCU